GAUGAACGCUGGCGGCGUGCCUAAUACAUGCAAGUCGAGCGAACAGACGAGGAGCUUGCUCCUCUGACGUUAGCGGCGGACGGGUGAGUAACACGUGGAUAACCUACCUAUAAAACUGGGAUAACUUCGGGAAACCGGAGCUAAUACCGGAUAAUAUAUUGAACCGCAUGGUUCAAUAGUGAAAGACGGUUUUGCUGUCACUUAUAGAUGGAUCCGCGCCGCAUUAGCUAGUUGGUAAGGUAACGGCUUACCAAGGCAACGAUGCGUAGCCGACCUGAGAGGGUGAUCGGCCACACUGGAACUGAGACACGGUCCAGACUCCUACGGGAGGCAGCAGUAGGGAAUCUUCCGCAAUGGGCGAAAGCCUGACGGAGCAACGCCGCGUGAAUGAUGAAGGUCUUCGGAUCGUAAAACUCUGUUAUUAGGGAAGAACAAAUGUGUAAGUAACUAUGCACGUCUUGACGGUACCUAAUCAGAAAGCCACGGCUAACUACGUG
Molecule: ribosomal RNA, 497 nt
Filed under: uncultured bacterium
Lineage: Bacteria
Description: partial 16S ribosomal RNA
Rfam family: Bacterial small subunit ribosomal RNA
Source: RNAcentral